Molecule: small RNA, 2580 nt
Filed under: Pongo abelii (Sumatran orangutan)
Lineage: Eukaryota; Metazoa; Chordata; Mammalia; Primates; Hominidae
Description: processed transcript
Source: RNAcentral
AACGCGCGGCGGCUCAGCGGCCUGGCAGAGGUUUCAGCGCUGAGCAGGCCUGAGUUCCGUCAUGGCCCUCUAUUUUGACCACCAGAUAGAAGCCCCAGAUGCAGCGGGGUCACCCUCACACAUCAGCUGGCACCCUGUCCAUCCAUUCUUAGCAGUUGCUUACAUCAGCACAACCUCAACAGGCAGCGUGGAUAUUUACCUGGAGCAAGGGGAGUGCGUGCCAGACACACAUGUCGAGAGGCCGUUCCGGGUUGCUUCCCUGUGCUGGCACCCGACGCGGCUGGUGCUGGCUCUGGGCUGGGAGACUGGAGAAGUGACCGUGUUUAACAAGCAGGACAAGGAGCAGCACACGAUGCCCCUGACACAUACAGCCAACAUCACUGUGCUCAAUUGGAGCCCCAAUGGAAACUGCCUGCUGUCUGGGGACAGGCUUGGUGUCUUGCUCUUGUGGAGGUUGGACCAAAGGGGCCGAGUGCAAGGGACGCCCCUGCUGAAACACGAGUAUGGGAAACACCUCACGCACUGCAUCUUCCGGCUCCCCCCUCCUGGCGAGGACCUGGUUCAGUUGGCAAAGGCAGCUGUGAGCGGUGAUGAGAAAGCCCUGGACAUGUUUAACUGGAAGAAGAGCAGCUCUGGAAGUUUGCUGAAGAUGGGGUCUCACGAGGGGCUGUUGUUCUUUGUCAGUCUGAUGGACGGGACAGUGCACUAUGUGGAUGAGAAGGGCAAGACCACUCAAGUGGUGUCCGCAGACAGCGCGAUUCAGAUGCUGUUCUACAUGGAGAAGAGGGAGGCACUGGUGGUGGUCACGGAGAACCUCCGGCUGUCCCUGUACACAGUGCCUCCUGAGGGCAAAGCAGAAGAAGUGAUGAAGGUCAAGCUGAGUGGGAAAACCGGCCGCCAGGCAGACAUCGCUUUGAUUGAAGGCAGCCUUCUGGUGAUGGCCAUUGGGGAGGCUGCCCUCAGAUUCUGGGACAUAGAACGAGGAGAGAAUUAUAUACUGAGUCCAGAUGAGAAGUUUGGCUUUGAGAAAGGAGAGAAUAUGAACUGUGUUUGUUACUGUAAAGUAAAAGGUCUUCUGGCCGCUGGUACUGACAGAGGGCGAGUAGCCAUGUGGAGAAAAGUACCAGGCUUCCUGGGCAGCCCUGGGGCAGAGGGCAAGGACAGGUGGGCCCUUCAGACCCCUACCGAGCUCCAAGGAAACAUCACGCAAAUCCAGUGGGGUUCCAGGAAGAACCUGCUGGCAGUGAACAACGUCAUCUCCGUGGCCAUCCUCAGCGAGCGGGCCAUGUCGUCACACUUCCACCAGCAAGUGGCCGCCGUGCAGGUCUCCCCAAGUCUGCUGAAUGUGUGCUUCCUGUCCACGGGGGUCGCACACAGCCUGCGCACCGACAUGCACAUCAGUGGGGUGUUUGCCACUAAGGAUGCUGUCGCAGUCUGGAACGGAAGGCAGGUGGCGAUCUUCGAGCUUUCUGGAGCCGCGAUACGGAGUGCAGGGACCUUCUUGUGUGAGACGCCCGUGUUAGCAAUGCAUGAAGAAAACGUUUACACGGUGGAGUCAAACCGAGUUCAAGUUCGAACCUGGCAGGGGACUGUCAAACAACUCCUCCUUUUCUCGGAGACUGAGGGGAACCCCUGCUUCUUGGAUGUCUGUGGGAAUUUCCUGGUUGUAGGGACAGACUUGGCUCACUUUAAAAGCUUUGAUCUUUCCCGAAGAGAGGCCAAAGCACACUGCAGCUGCAGGAGCCUGGCGGAGCUGGUCCCUGGGGUGGGGGGCAUCGCUUCUCUGCGGUGCAGCAGCAGCGGGAGCACCAUCAGCAUCCUCCCCAGCAAGGCUGACAACAGCCCUGAUUCCAAAAUCUGCUUCUACGAUGUUGAAAUGGACACAGUGACCAUCUUUGACUUCAAGACUGGACAAAUUGAUCGGAGAGAGACGCUGUCCUUUAAUGAGCAAGAGACUAAUAAGAGCCACCUCUUUGCGGAUGAGGGACUGAAAAAUUAUGUUCCCGUGAACCACUUCUGGGACCAGAGCGAGCCCCGGCUGUUUGUGUGCGAAGCCGUGCAGGAGACACCGCGCUCCCAGCCUCAGUCUGCAAAUGGGCAGCCCCAAGAUGGGCGCGCUGGCCCUGCGGCAGAUGUUUUGAUCCUGUCCUUCUUCAUUUCCGAAGAGCACGGCUUCCUGCUUCAUGAGAGCUUCCCCCGGCCUGCCGCCUCCCACAGUCUCCUGGGGAUGGAAGUGCCUUAUUACUACUUCACAAGAAAGCCCGAAGAAGCAGACAGAAAAGACGAGGUGGAGCCUGGGUGCCACCACAUCCCUCAGAUGGUGUCCAGGAGACCCCUGCGAGACUUCGUGGGGCUGGAGGACUGCGACAAGGCCACCCGGGACGCCAUGCUCCACUUCAGCUUCUUUGUCACCAUUGGAGACAUGGACGAAGCCUUCAAAUCCAUCAAGCUCAUCAAAAGAGCCUGAAACCAGAGAAGGAGAGGUGGGCUGUGAGCAACCCUUGGUUGGCGCAGCUUGUUCCCGUCUAGUUAGUCGCUGAUACUACAGUUUCGCUUACAGUUUUAUCUUUAAGGAGCUCC